AGCUUGAAGUGUCCAGGAGCUCCGGAGAACUACCCUCCCCUCACGGGUGUUUUGACUGCACUUAGUCAAUGCCGAGCACCUACCAGGAGCUCUAACACUGAUCCCUUUGCUCUUUCCAAUCACGCAGAGACACACGCACACCCUGGGGAGGUCCCACCGAAAUACAGGUCCUUUAAAUGUACCACUGAGCCAGCAAGAAGGUGAAGGAAAAGCCAAAAUCAAAAAGCCAGGAAUUCCUGAAGGCUUGACCCUUCCCAGACCCUGCUCCUGUGACCCAGCCAAUUUUACAGAAUCAGCAUUGCCCAAGUUCAUCGAGCCUUGGCACAUCCAAGUGGUCUUUCAUGACUUCUUCAUUAUAGCACCUCAAAGUUGGUCACUCAUCACCAGGGAGAUGCAAAUGAAAACUACAAUGAGAUGUCACUCCACACCUGUCAGAAUGGCUGGAAUCAAAAACACAAGAAACAACAAUGUUGGUGAGGAUGUGGAG
This 487-nucleotide long non-coding RNA is filed under the name Canis lupus dingo (dingo). RNAcentral describes it as "lncRNA (ENSCAFG00020005376.1)". The record is from RNAcentral. Lineage: Eukaryota; Metazoa; Chordata; Mammalia; Carnivora; Canidae.